This 1320-nucleotide ribosomal RNA is filed under the name Salmonella enterica. RNAcentral's name for it is "partial 23S ribosomal RNA". It matches the Rfam family "Bacterial large subunit ribosomal RNA", at positions 1 to 1251 of the family's 2925-position model. The record is from RNAcentral. Lineage: Bacteria; Pseudomonadati; Pseudomonadota; Gammaproteobacteria; Enterobacterales; Enterobacteriaceae.
GGGUUGUGAGGUUAAGCGACUAAGCGUACACGGUGGAUGCCCUGGCAGUCAGAGGCGAUGAAGGACGUGCUAAUCUGCGAUAAGCGCCGGUAAGGUGAUAUGAACCGUUAUAACCGGCGAUUUCCGAAUGGGGAAACCCAGUGUGACUCGUCACACUAUCAUUAACUGAAUCCAUAGGUUAAUGAGGCGAACCGGGGGAACUGAAACAUCUAAGUACCCCGAGGAAAAGAAAUCAACCGAGAUUCCCCCAGUAGCGGCGAGCGAACGGGGAGGAGCCCAGAGCCUGAAUCAGCAUGUGUGUUAGUGGAAGCGUCUGGAAAGGCGCGCGAUACAGGGUGACAGCCCCGUACACAAAAGCGCAUAUGCUGUGAGCUCGAUGAGUAGGGCGGGACACGUGGUAUCCUGUCUGAAUAUGGGGGGACCAUCCUCCAAGGCUAAAUACUCCUGACUGACCGAUAGUGAACCAGUACCGUGAGGGAAAGGCGAAAAGAACCCCGGCGAGGGGAGUGAAAAAGAACCUGAAACCGUGUACGUACAAGCAGUGGGAGCCCCACCACUAAGCCAGUGGUGAACUCCACAUACGCAUCCUUUGCUGAGGAUACGGUUAACGGAGCGAAAGCGACGUUCAACCGCAAAAGAAGCAGAGGGGGCUUAGUGGUGGGGUGACUGCGUACCUUUUGUAUAAUGGGUCAGCGACUUAUAUUCUGUAGCAAGGUUAACCGAAUAGGGGAGCCGGAGGGAAACCGAGUCUUAACCGGGCGUUAAGUUGCAGGGUAUAGACCCGAAACCCGGUGAUCUAGCCAUGGGCAGGUUGAAGGUUGGGUAACACUAACUGGAGGACCGAACCGACUAAUGUUGAAAAAUUAGCGGAUGACCUGUGGCUGGGGGUGAAAGGCCAAUCAAACCGGGAGAUAGCUGGUUCUCCCCGAAAGCUAUUUAGGUAGCGCCUCGUGAACUCAUCUCCGGGGGUAGAGCACUGUUUCGGCUAGGGGGCCAUCCCGGCUUACCAACCCGAUGCAAACUGCGAAUACCGGAGAAUGUUAUCACGGGAGACACACGGCGGGUGCUAACGUCCGUCGUGAAGAGGGAAACAACCCAGACCGCCAGCUAAGGUCCCAAAGUCAUGGUUAAGUGGGAAACGAUGUGGGAAGGCCCAGACAGCCAGGAUGUUGGCUUAGAAGCAGCCAUCAUUUAAAGAAAGCGUAAUAGCUCACUGGUCGAGUCGGCCUGCGCGGAAGAUGUAACGGGGCUAAACCAUGCACCGAAGCUGCGGCAGCGACACUCAGGUGUUGUUGGGUAGGGGAGCGUUCUGUAAGCCUG